CUGCUGCCUUCCGUAGAAGUUUGGUCCGUGUCUCAGUACCAAUGUGGGGGGUUGACCUCUCAGUCCCCCUAUGUAUCGUCGCCUUGGUGAGCCGUUACCUCACCAACUAGCUGAUACAACGCAUGUCCAUCUCUGACCACCUGAGUUUUCAACCACCGAAGAUGCCUCCGGUGAUGUUAUGGGGUAUUAGUACCAAUUUCUCGAUGUUAUCCCCCUGUCAAAGGUAGGUUACAUACGCGUUACGCACCCGUCCGCCGGUCGCCGG
RNAcentral lists this ribosomal RNA (265 nucleotides) under uncultured bacterium. RNAcentral describes it as "partial 16S ribosomal RNA". The record is from RNAcentral.